GACGAACGCUGGCGGCGUGCUUAACACAUGCAAGUCGAACGGAAAGGCCCUGCUUGCAGGGUGCUCGAGUGGCGAACGGGUGAGUAACACGUGGGUGAUCUGCCCCUUACUUUGGGAUAAGCCUGGGAAACUGGGUCUAAUACUGGAUAGGACCAUGCUGUAGGUGGUGUGGUGGAAAGAUUAGUUUCGGUAAGGGAUGAGCUCGCGGCCUAUCAGCUUGUUGGUGGGGUAAUGGCCUACCAAGGCGUCGACGGGUAGCCGGCCUGAGAGGGUGGACGGCCACAUUGGGACUGAGAUACGGCCCAGAAUCCUACGGGAGGCAGCAGUGGGGCAUAUUGCACAAUGGGCGCAAGCCUGAUGCAGCGACGCCGCGUGGGGGAUGACGGCCUUCGGGUUGUAAACUCCUUUCAGCCAUGACGAAGCCCUUGUGGUGACGGUAGUGGUAGAAGAAGCACCGGCUAACUACGUG
RNAcentral lists this ribosomal RNA (469 nucleotides) under uncultured bacterium. Its description in RNAcentral is "partial 16S ribosomal RNA". It matches the Rfam family "Bacterial small subunit ribosomal RNA", at positions 28 to 507 of the family's 1533-position model. The record is from RNAcentral.